Molecule: ribosomal RNA, 841 nt
Filed under: uncultured bacterium
Lineage: Bacteria
Description: bacterial SSU rRNA
Rfam family: Bacterial small subunit ribosomal RNA
Source: RNAcentral
UGUGCCAGCAGCCGCGGUAAUACAGAGGGUGCGAGCGUUAAUCGGAUUUACUGGGCGUAAAGCGUGCGUAGGCGGCUUUUUAAGUCGGAUGUGAAAUCCCCGAGCUUAACUUGGGAAUUGCAUUCGAUACUGGGAAGCUAGAGUAUGGGAGAGGAUGGUAGAAUUCCAGGUGUAGCGGUGAAAUGCGUAGAGAUCUGGAGGAAUACCGAUGGCGAAGGCAGCCAUCUGGCCUAAUACUGACGCUGAGGUACGAAAGCAUGGGGAGCAAACAGGAUUAGAUACCCUGGUAGUCCAUGCCGUAAACGAUGUCUACUAGCCGUUGGGGCCUUUGAGGCUUUAGUGGCGCAGCUAACGCGAUAAGUAGACCGCCUGGGGAGUACGGUCGCAAGACUAAAACUCAAAUGAAUUGACGGGGGCCCGCACAAGCGGUGGAGCAUGUGGUUUAAUUCGAUGCAACGCGAAGAACCUUACCUGGCCUUGACAUACUAGAAACUUUCCAGAGAUGGAUUGGUGCCUUCGGGAAUCUAGAUACAGGUGCUGCAUGGCUGUCGUCAGCUCGUGUCGUGAGAUGUUGGGUUAAGUCCCGCAACGAGCGCAACCCUUUUCCUUACUUGCCAGCAUUUCGGAUGGGAACUUUAAGGAUACUGCCAGUGACAAACUGGAGGAAGGCGGGGACGACGUCAAGUCAUCAUGGCCCUUACGGCCAGGGCUACACACGUGCUACAAUGGUCGGUACAAAGGGUUGCUACCUAGCGAUAGAUGCUAUCUCAAAAGCCGAUCGUAGUCCGGGAUUGGAGUCUGCACUCGACUCCAUGAGUCGGAUCGCUAGUAAUCGCGGAUC